This 289-nucleotide ribosomal RNA is filed under the name uncultured Prevotella sp. RNAcentral describes it as "partial 16S ribosomal RNA". The record is from RNAcentral. Lineage: Bacteria; Pseudomonadati; Bacteroidota; Bacteroidia; Bacteroidales; Prevotellaceae.
CUACCGGGGUUUCUAAUCCUGUUCGAUACCCACGCUUUCGAGCAUCAGCGUCAGUAGCGCUACAGUAGGCUGCCUUCGCAAUCGGAGUUCCUCGUGAUAUCUAAGCAUUUCACCGCUACACCACGAAUUCCGCCUACUUUCUGCGCACUCAAGCGCCCCAGUUCGCGCUGCAAGCCGGAUGUUGAGCACCCGGAUUUCACAACACGCUUAAGGCGCGGCCUACGCUCCCUUUAAACCCAAUAAAUCCGGAUAACGCCCGGACCUUCCGUAUUACCGCGGCUGCUGGCAC